GAUCCUGGCUCAGGACGAACGCUGGCGGCGCGCCUAACACAUGCAAGUCGAACGGAGAAUGCAGGACUGAAGCCUUCGGGCGGGAUGACUUGUAUUCUUAGUGGCGGACGGGUGAGUAACACGUGAGCAACCUGCCUUCAAGAGGGGGAGUAGCACCUGGAAACGGGUGGUAAUACCGCAUAAGACCACAGCAUCGCAUGGUGCAGAGGUCAAAGGAGCAAUCCGCUUGAAGAUGGG
Molecule: ribosomal RNA, 237 nt
Filed under: uncultured bacterium
Lineage: Bacteria
Description: partial 16S ribosomal RNA
Rfam family: Bacterial small subunit ribosomal RNA
Source: RNAcentral